UCUUUCUUUGCUGGCGACCGGCGCACGGGUGAGUAACACGUAUCCAACCUGCCCUUUACUCGGGGAUAGCCUUUCGAAAGAAAGAUUAAUACCCAUAGUAUAAUGAUUCCGCAUGGUUUCAUUAUUAAAGGAUUCCGGUAAAGGAUGGGGAUGCGUUCCAUUAGGUUGUUGGUGAGGUAACGGCUCACCAAGCCUUCGAUGGAUAGGGGUUCUGAGAGGAAGGUCCCCCACAUUGGAACUGAGACACGGUCCAA
Molecule: ribosomal RNA, 254 nt
Filed under: uncultured bacterium
Lineage: Bacteria
Description: partial 16S ribosomal RNA
Rfam family: Bacterial small subunit ribosomal RNA
Source: RNAcentral